CCUCCUUUCUAAGAGAAAGAAAUUAUUAUAAGGCAAAUUAUUAUUUUAACUCUUCCUUUGUCUUUUCAGAGACUUUUUUUGGGGGGUUUAGCUCAGUUGGUUUAGAGCAUCGGCUUUGCAAGCCGGGGGUCAAGGGUUCGAAUCCCUUAACCUCCAUUUGUUUAUUGUAAAAGUGAAUGAAUAAAUGGAGGUUAUGGCUUUUAAAGAGUAACUUUUGUUGUAUCAAUUGAAAGCUAUCUUCAAGAAUUAAAAAAAAUCCUAUUAAAAUUUUGAUUUCCAGAUAGAAUAUUUUUUUGUUUAAGAAUUUUUUUAAAUUUAAUAAUUUACUCAGAUAAAAUUCUCAUUUACAAGAUAAGCAAUAUAAAAAAUAAGGGUGUUACUUAUUUAUUUUUUUGAAUUAUUUUAUUUAAGUUAUUUUAAAAUUUUUUAGCUUGUAGGAAAUAAUUUUACUUCAUGCAAAUUUUAAGAUAUUUGAUGUUCUUAUUUGUUUUGAGUGAAUAAAUAUAAUAUAUGGUUUGAUAUUUCAGGUCAUGGUUUUAUAUUGCUUGUUGUUUUGAUGGUUUUAGUGAUAAAUUUAAAUGGCCCUGACAAAUUUUUAUUGCAUACGGCAAGUUUGGUUGAAGCAUCAGAAAUGCAUCUUUAAUUAUUUUGUUGAGAUUAUUAAAUGCUUAAGAGGGGUUGAGUUUAAUCAAU
Molecule: transfer RNA, 693 nt
Filed under: Borrelia turicatae
Lineage: Bacteria; Pseudomonadati; Spirochaetota; Spirochaetia; Spirochaetales; Borreliaceae
Description: partial 16S-23S ribosomal RNA intergenic spacer
Rfam family: tRNA (bases 82-156)
Source: RNAcentral